AAGUCGUAACAAGGUUUCCGUAGGUGAACCUACGGAAGGAUCAUUAACAUUAUUAUUCUUUUACUUUGAGUUGUUGGUUUUUUUGAUUAAUUUCUUAGUCAAUUAACCCUUCUCAUUCUAACCCCAAACUAUGUGCACUGUGUUGUGCUUUUGUUGUAACGAAAGCACUUCUUUUUUUACUUCUAUUCAAAUAUAAACCCCUUUUAUUACUACUUCUAGACUGACUUUAAACAACUUGAUUCGUACACUUCAUACUGUACGAUGACCAAUCAUAAUACAACUCUUAGCAACGGAUAUCUAGGCUCUC
This 307-nucleotide unclassified non-coding RNA is filed under the name fungal sp. RNAcentral's name for it is "partial internal transcribed spacer region". The stretch from base 1 to 46 matches the Rfam family "Eukaryotic small subunit ribosomal RNA", at positions 1786 to 1831 of the family's 1831-position model. Lineage: Eukaryota; Fungi. The record is from RNAcentral.